This 753-nucleotide ribosomal RNA is filed under the name uncultured Actinomyces sp. Its description in RNAcentral is "bacterial SSU rRNA". It matches the Rfam family "Bacterial small subunit ribosomal RNA", at positions 28 to 776 of the family's 1533-position model. Lineage: Bacteria; Bacillati; Actinomycetota; Actinomycetes; Actinomycetales; Actinomycetaceae. The record is from RNAcentral.
GACGAACGCGGCGGCGUGCUUAACACAUGCAAGUCGAACGAUGAUGCUCCAGCUAUGUUGGGGUGGAUUAGUGGCGAACGGGUGAGUAACACGUGAGUAACCUGCCCUCUUCUUUGGGAUAACGGUCGGAAACGGCUGCUAAUACAGGAUAUUCACUCAUUGGCGCAUGUUGGUGGGUGGAAAGGUUUUUUCUGGUGGGGGAUGGGCUCGCGGCCUAUCAGCUUGUUGGUGGGGUGAUGGCCUACCAAGGCUUUGACGGGUAACCGGCCUGAGAGGGUGACCGGUCACAUUGGGACUGAGAUACGGCCCAGACUCCUACGGGAGGCAGCAGUGGGGAAUUUUGCACAAUGGGCGCAAGCCUGAUGCAGCGACGCCGCGUGAGGGAUGAAGGCCUUCGGGUUGUAAACCUUUUUCGCUCAUGGUCAAGCCGCAGCUUUGGGUUGUGGUGAGGGUAGUGGGUAAAGAAGCGCCGGCUAACUACGUGCCAGCAGCCGCGGUAAUACGUAGGGCGCGAGCGUUGUCCGGAAUUAUUGGGCGUAAAGGGCUUGUAGGCGGUUGGCCGCGUCUGCCGUGAAAUCCUCUGGCUUAACUGGGGGCGUGCGGUGGGUACGGGUUGACUUGAGUGCGGUAGGGGAGACUGGAAUUCCUGGUGUAGCGGUGGAAUGCGCAGAUAUCAGGAGGAACACCGGUGGCGAAGGCGGGUCUCUGGGCCGUUACUGACGCUGAGGAGCGAAAGCGUGGGGAGCGAACAGG